RNAcentral lists this ribosomal RNA (464 nucleotides) under Vreelandella stevensii. RNAcentral describes it as "partial 16S ribosomal RNA". It matches the Rfam family "Bacterial small subunit ribosomal RNA", at positions 338 to 795 of the family's 1533-position model. Lineage: Bacteria; Pseudomonadati; Pseudomonadota; Gammaproteobacteria; Oceanospirillales; Halomonadaceae. The record is from RNAcentral.
CCUACGGAGGCAGCAGUGGGGAAUAUUGGACAAUGGGCGAAAGCCUGAUCCAGCCAUGCCGCGUGUGUGAAGAAGGCCUUCGGGUUGUAAAGCACUUUCAGUGGGGAAGAAAGCCUUGGGGCUAAUACCCUCGAGGAAGGACAUCACCCACAGAAGAAGCACCGGCUAACUCCGUGCCAGCAGCCGCGGUAAUACGGAGGGUGCGAGCGUUAAUCGGAAUUACUGGGCGUAAAGCGCGCGUAGGCGGUCUGAUAAGCCGGUUGUGAAAGCCCCGGGCUCAACCUGGGAACGGCAUCCGGAACUGUCAGGCUAGAGUGCAGGAGAGGAAGGUAGAAUUCCCGGUGUAGCGGUGAAAUGCGUAGAGAUCGGGAGGAAUACCAGUGGCGAAGGCGGCCUUCUGGACUGACACCGACGCUGAGGUGCGAAAGCGUGGGUAGCAAACAGGAUUAGAUACCCGAGUAGUC